RNAcentral lists this long non-coding RNA (1972 nucleotides) under Cricetulus griseus (Chinese hamster). Its description in RNAcentral is "lncRNA (ENSCGRG00015030145.1)". The record is from RNAcentral. Lineage: Eukaryota; Metazoa; Chordata; Mammalia; Rodentia; Cricetidae.
UUGGUUUUUUUACUCUAUCACAGCAGAGAUAGCGUUCUCCCUUAGACACAGCCAAAAUUAUCUUAUUUGCCUUUGAGCUUCUGGCUCUUGGUAGAGUUGACACAUAAAAGGUCUCUGGGAAAAGAAAACUGGGUCAGCUCUAGAAUAAAAACCUUAUCCUAUUCCCUCUUCCUUCCUUUUCUCUUUUUCCUGUUGAAGUUUUGGGCAUAGCAAGCUAAGUAAAUCCACACACUCACUUUGAUUUCAGAGCCUAGAACAUUCUAGUUCUCAGAAUCUCCCCUAUCUCCGUCUCUGGCUUUGAUCACCCCCCUGUCUGCAGAGACUUCUUUUUAUUGGAGGGACACCUUUGGUUGCCUCUAUCAUCUCACUGGUUCAUUCUCAUCGUGGGUUCCAAACUCACCCCCAGUUGGUCACCAGACAGUAAAUAGCACUCUCUUCUUUUAAGAGGAGAAGGAACUAAGCAGCCCCCUUUGAGAGGGGCAGGACCAGACGUAGGGCCUGUGGGGGUGCGCUUAUCAUCACCAUUGGGUUAAGAAAAUUUGAGGGGCACCUCCACGUUUGCCUUUCUUGUCUGGAACCGCCACAAGGGUGUUGCCUUCCAGAACUAGAAUCUGCUGGUUUGUGUCACGAAUGAAAUGUUUGUUUGGGGAGGAGGGCUUCAUACUUGCACCUGGAAAACAGUAACAGAAGUUACAAAGAGUGAACCACUCUGAGUCCAGCUAUAAAGCUUUGCUUUAUGCUUCAGGCUCAGACACUAUAUAGUCCUCUUGGUAUAUAUGUAUGUAUGUAUGUAUGUACUUACCUAUCUGUUUUUUACCCCAACUCACUGAUACAGGAACUUUGGACCCUUUGGGUCACUGAGACCAUGCUGACUCAGUAACAAUCACCUCUUUUCAAUCCUUCACAAGUUAAGUUACUAAAUUUCCUCAAGUAUUGCAUUUCAGACCAAUAAAAUGGGACAAGGUAGCCACUUUCAUGGAGUUGUUAUGAAGAUGGAGGCACUGUAAAGGGUUUACUCUAUUUGAAAAGUUAAGAUUUUGAAGUUUCGAAGGAAAGGUGCCACAACACAUAUUGCUCAGAUGUCAUCAGAAAGAGCUGCUGACUUUGUUGAGGAGGCCGAACAACCAACCACCCAUACUUGUCACCCCAGAAUCCCUUGGAAGAUCACCUGAAUGGUUGGAAAGCAUAGCAACAAGGCUGGUAUCUGACAGCAGAGGGCAUUUUGCUGUUGAAUCAAAGACAACAGAUUAGCAAGUCAAUUUCAUUAGCUUGGAAUGUAUAGUUAAUCGCACUAUGGAAUGAUUCCAUUCCUAAUGUCUACAGUUUCUAAAUCCUGAUUAUGAGCAUAUAUGCAGAAGACAUGCAAAUGUGUUUUAAAGAGAUUCUACAUCUGUCAAUGUUGGGAGGUUCCGGUUUCAACCAUGUGAGGUCCAGCAAGGUAUCUAAGUGCAUAAAGGAGCUUGCUAUCAGACCUGGUGACCUGAAUUUGAUCCCUGGGUUUGGUGGUAGGAGAGAACUGAUUCCCAAAAGUUGUCCUCUGACCUCCAUCAAUGCACCAUGGCACCUGUCCUCCUGUUCAAUAAUUUAAUACCAUGUAAAAAAAUAAUUAAAAACCUGUGUUUGCUGAUGAUACAUCUGAGGUCCUGAACUGUAACAUGUCUAUCUCCAUCACUGCCCUUGUCUACCUAAUGUCCUGGAGGAAUUCCUGCAGCUCAGAUGUCUUGCAAGUUGGUCAAAGAACACAUGGCUUCUAUGGGUAGUUUUAAGCACAGUUCCCUGUGAUUGAAGAACACUUUUUGAGGCCUGGAAUAGGUUUGAACAGGUUUCUUACCUUUUGGCUCUGUGUAGGAUUCAGUCUGGUCUCUAUAGCGCUUACGGUAAUUUUUCGCAUCUGAACAGCUUUCUGAAGACAUUGUUGCCUGAGCUGAGAGUGAACACAGUGGAGAGGUAAGGGAAGGCAGGACCAACAUAC